AACCAAACUGAUCUAACAGAAUUCAAAUAGAUCCACACCAGAUAAAAGUAUAUGUCUAAACCAUUUGGUUAAAAUUUUAAUCAUUUUAGAUGGUUUGGUUUAAAAAAGAACUGAAAAAUCGAAGUCAUUUAACUGGAUUAACUAAAUAUAAUAAUUAUAUUAAAAUUAAAAUGUUUUACCAUUUAACCUAAAAAACUAAAUAUAAUUUUAUAUAUUUUAAUUCUAAAUGAAUAGAAGAAACACUACUAAAAAUAAAAUAAAAAAUAUGAAUCUCUUACAUCAACAUCAAAAUUAUCUAUAAUAUUUAUACUAGGUUUGAAAAUAAUAAUAUAAAUUU
Molecule: long non-coding RNA, 337 nt
Filed under: Brassica napus (rape)
Lineage: Eukaryota; Viridiplantae; Streptophyta; Magnoliopsida; Brassicales; Brassicaceae
Description: long non-coding RNA (BNAP_LNC018853)
Source: RNAcentral